GACGAACGCUGGCGGCGUGCCUAAUACAUGCAAGUCGAACGCAGUGGGGACGGGUGAGUAACACGUGGCUAACCUCGCAUCAGAGGGGAUAACACUUGGAAAAAGGUGCUAAAGCGAUAUUGGUGGAUGAAACCGCUGGGCAUUAGCUAGUUGUUGAGGUAACGGCUCACCAAGGCCACGAUGCCUAGCUGACCUGAUAGGAUGAGCGGCCACACUGGGACUGAGACACGGCCCAGACUCCUACGGGAGGCAGCAGUAGGGAAUCUUCGGCAAUGGACGAAAGUCUGACCGAGCCACGCCGCGUGAGUGAAGAAGGUUUUCGGAUCGUAAAGCUCUGUUGUUAGAGAAGCGGUAUCUAACCAGAAAGCCACGGCUAACUCCGUGCCAGCCGCCGCGGUAAUAC
This 403-nucleotide ribosomal RNA is filed under the name uncultured bacterium. RNAcentral describes it as "partial 16S ribosomal RNA". It matches the Rfam family "Bacterial small subunit ribosomal RNA", at positions 28 to 526 of the family's 1533-position model. The record is from RNAcentral.